GGAGGGGUAUCGAAGCGGUCAUAACGAGGCGGUCUCGAAAACCGUUCGGGUGUAUGCCCACGUGGGUUCGAAUCCCACCCUCUCCGCCA
This 89-nucleotide transfer RNA is filed under the name Tissierellia bacterium. Its description in RNAcentral is "tRNA-Ser". It matches the Rfam family "tRNA". Rfam says of the family: Transfer RNA (tRNA) molecules are approximately 80 nucleotides in length. The record is from RNAcentral. Lineage: Bacteria; Bacillati; Bacillota; Tissierellia.